UAUCUCUGUAGAGUCUGCAUAUCAAUAAGCGGAGGAAAAGAAACUAACUAGGAUUCCCCUAGUAACGGUGAGUGAAGCGGGAAGAGCUCAAAUUUGAAAUCUUAAAGGGUUCUACCUUGACGAAUUGUAGUUUAAAGAAGUGUUUUCUGUUGAGGUUUUGGUAAAAGUUCUUUGGAAUAGGACAUCAUAGAGGGUGAGAAUCCCGUAUUCGACCAUUACUUCCAGCUUUGUGAUACACUUUCAAGGAGUCGGAUUGUUUGGGAAUGCAGUCCAAAAUGGGUGGUAAAUUUCAUCUAAAGCUAAAUAUUGGCGAGAGACCGAUAGCGAACAAGUACCGUGAGGGAAAGAUGAAAAGAACUUUGAAAAGAGAGUUAAACAGUACGUGAAAUUGUCAAAAGGGAAGCGUUUGACACCAGUGUCGUUUUCUCGAAAAUCAAUUAAAAAAAGUUGGAUUUUGUAUUGUUAUGACCUUAUCAGCUUACUGUACUCUUUUCUUGUCUUUUUUAAUGCACUUUUCGUUUAACAAGUCAACAUCAAUUUCUUUUGUUGUAAAAGAGUCAUUGGAAGGUGGCUUUCACUUCGGUGAAAGUGUUUACUAGCCUUUGGCUUCUGCAAUCGGAGAGAUUGAGGUCUGCAGCGUAGAUCCUCGGGGCUAGAUACGUAGAUGCUAAGUUAUAGUUUUUUAUAGACAACUUGUUGACUAUAAUUAAUCAUGUAGCUUACUCGUUUGCGCUAUUUUACCUACGCUUAGGAUGUUGACGAUCAGCUGAGCGCG
This 775-nucleotide ribosomal RNA is filed under the name uncultured Neocallimastigales. RNAcentral's name for it is "partial large subunit ribosomal RNA". It matches the Rfam family "Eukaryotic large subunit ribosomal RNA", at positions 24 to 633 of the family's 3401-position model. Lineage: Eukaryota; Fungi; Neocallimastigomycota; Neocallimastigomycetes; Neocallimastigales. The record is from RNAcentral.